AGUCUGACAUCUACAGAGGCAGUUGGCAUUGGCCCCAUUCAAGCACUCCCCGAGGUCUACAGUGGAGAAGAGAAGGCUGCCAAGCCCCUGUGAAGAAGAAAGAGACUGUGUAUCGUCCCAGCCCCUCGUGACUUCACACUGGGUGUGAAGACAGAAUAGGAUCCUGAAAGAGGCCGACUUUAACGAAAGGAAUGAGUGUGUGCACUUUUGGACAUGGCGUCUAGAUGUCCUUCCAAUUAAGCGGUGCACAGUAAGUUGGGGAAACCGGAUUCAGAUGCAAGGUUCGCAGCAAAGGCGCUAAAGAAUCGCACAGUCAACCUCGUCUACAGAUGGCUGGAGGCAUGAGACACAAGCUUUCAAAGCAGUUUUUAAGCCACCAACCAUAAAGGCUCAGGAAAGAAUCCAGAAACUACCCCAAAAUUUCCCAUGAUGAUUGACAUCAAGAGAACACCAUUCUGGACCAGUUUCUGAGGUCGAGACUAUGGAGAUUGCCAUUAUUGAAUGUAGUCUCCCCUCCCCCAGCCUGAAACCAGCUUGCUCAGGGGUGGAGCUUCCUGCUCAUUCGUUCUGCCACGCCCACUGCUGGAACCUGCGGAGCCAUACACGUGCACCUUUCUACUGGACCAGAGAUUAUUCGGCGGGAAUCGGGUCCCCUCCCCCUUCCUUCAUAACUGAGUGUCGCAACAGUAAAAUUUGAGCUUUGAUCA
Molecule: long non-coding RNA, 707 nt
Filed under: Mus musculus (house mouse)
Lineage: Eukaryota; Metazoa; Chordata; Mammalia; Rodentia; Muridae
Description: RIKEN cDNA 4930517G24 gene (4930517G24Rik)
Source: RNAcentral